UGCAGGCGGCUCGCCCAGGCGCGCAGCCCUCGGUCCCACCUCCCUCUGGCUCGGGCCUGAGCAUUCCGCAGCCUCGGCCGGCCCGGGCCUCUUCUCCGCUGCUCUGCUCCCCCAAGGACUUUCUGUGCCCCACUCCUACCCAGGCAGGGCUGCCCUGUCUUGGGUCCUUUACGGGGGACCAUUCCCCAGCGUCCCUGAGACACUCAUCCUGGGAUUUCUUCCCCUAAAUACAGACAUUCUCAAACCAAAUGAGACCUCGAGGUCCCUACACCUGAUCCUGCCUCCCACUCCCUGAGCCACACUGAGAAGGAAGGUCUCUCCUUUAGGGAGGACUCUGGCGCCUGCAACCUUGAUCGACAGCAAAGAUGUCCAGUGUGUAUCCUGCAUCUGCCUUUCCUGACCAUUCCUCGUGCCCCAUUCUCCGUGGGAUAGAUUCUCAUGGGGAGUGGGGGAGCCUUCGGGUGUGGCAGAACGGCAUGAUGGAAUUCAUAAGUUGAUUUUUCAGCAAACCUUCAGAAGGCAAAGGGGAAGUUUUCCUUUGGCCCCCACAGACCCAUGCUGGGGGACGUCCUGAGGAUGGGUGAGGAGAGAAAUCUUCCAGGACAAGAAAGUGAAGGCAACCCAGUUAGGAGGCAUCUGGGACUUUCCUGGCCAACUCUGAAGACAUCAAGUUGAACCAUGACCCGGAUUCGGUCUUGGAAGCAGAUGAGAGGGUAAAGAGUUGAAGCCAGGUCUACACUCUGAUUCCUCCAAGUCACCGAGUGGUUUCAUGUGAAAGGGGUCUGGGCAGGAGUGAGCCGAGGUUAGCGGUGGUAUUUCAGUGAUUUGGCAAAUGUGCACAGAUGGCUCAUAAACCGCCCCCCCACAUGCCACCGACAGGAAACUACCACUUGACAACACGCCUGCUUCUGCCGCAUCACAGACUUAGCAGAGUCUGUUCAGAAUCUCCUUGCAUUUCCAAAUGAAGCUUGGAUGUUAGCAGAUGUUAAACCCAAGAACAGGUACACCUGGGCUCUAAAUUCAUCUUCUGACUGAAGUUGAAGAUAAAACCUGAUACCAGUUUGGAGUAGAAAGAGACACAGUAUUGUAAUCAUAAAUGACAUUUGACCUUAAAACAGUAACACAGCAAAUUUCUAAUUAAAGUGGAGCAUGUCCUGUCUUGACUGAGGCACCAAGACGAUUUGUUGCAGAUUGUUGCUGGCAGUGUGCAGUCCCCAAGACCAAAUCACCAAGAGGCACAGUGGUAAGAGUGGUCAGCAAGGAGCGGAGCGCCUUCCUCCCACCAGCAGGUGACUCACCACAUCGUGUCCUCCUUGGCGUAAGAGGCGCCCUAAAGGUUUCUCCGUUCCAGUUAUCCUAACUGGAAUACUGUUCCUGAAAAAAGCGUAUAUUUAAGGCCCUGCUAGCUAUAAGCAAUCCUUCAAGGAAGAGAAUUAUAAACAACCUUUCUUCCAAGUUUUUGUUCUUUGCCUCACUUAUAUGCCGAUUUAAAUCGUUCUCUAAGAAAAGGUGGUAUUUCCUCUCACUGCAGGUUCUACCAGACUCUCAUCACCUGCUUGCCAAGCAGCAGCCAAGGGAAAACAGUUUGAAAUUUACUGCUAACAAUUGGUUCACAUACAUACCGGGUACGGGGGACUCUUGCCUGUAGUCCCAGCUACUCAGGAGGCUGAGGCUGGAGGAAUGCUUGAGUCCAGGAGUUCAA
Molecule: long non-coding RNA, 1702 nt
Filed under: Homo sapiens (human)
Lineage: Eukaryota; Metazoa; Chordata; Mammalia; Primates; Hominidae
Description: HSALNT0344067
Source: RNAcentral